RNAcentral lists this long non-coding RNA (581 nucleotides) under Trifolium pratense (red clover). RNAcentral's name for it is "long non-coding RNA (TPRA_LNC010517)". The record is from RNAcentral. Lineage: Eukaryota; Viridiplantae; Streptophyta; Magnoliopsida; Fabales; Fabaceae.
GAGUUUUGCACGGUGUACUAGUUCAACCUUCAGAUACCUCAGCUGGUGAGCACUUUGAGCCAAAUGAAUUCCACGGUAUACUAUUUCUUUCACAUCUUAUGAGUGUAUCCAUGAUUUGUAUAUUUUCUAGAACUUGCGACUAUUCUCUAUUGUUGAUUGGUUUUACAUUUACACACAUAGAGGCACAUUUGUUUGGUACCCUGAGCCUUUUCAAGCUACCCUGUUAUUAUAUAUCUGUUGCUAAACCACUUUGAGCCAAAAAAAAAUAAAUAAUAAUAUCCCCUUUCUUUCGGUGACUAACUCAAUUAUAAGCCUUUUAGACCUGAAAUUUUUUAUCUGUUUACCCUUCUUGGAGUUAGGUAGAAGCUUUAAAUUUCCUUGUCAUGGUAUCAUUUUAAGUUUGAGGUUGCUUCUGGAAUUAGCAACAUCUUAAGUUUGGGGUAGGGGUACUAGAGAACUAAAAAAAAAAGAAAUAGUAAUAAUAGAGACUCACAAAAAAAUAAUUGAGUUUCUUAAAAAAAAAAGGAGAAUAAAAAAGAAUAAAGAGCCAUUAAGCAUGAAAAAUAGUGGCAUCUUCGAAG